This 23-nucleotide small nuclear RNA is filed under the name Arabidopsis thaliana (thale cress). RNAcentral's name for it is "snRNA_00710". The record is from RNAcentral. Lineage: Eukaryota; Viridiplantae; Streptophyta; Magnoliopsida; Brassicales; Brassicaceae.
AGGGAAUGUUCCACUAUAAGACA